This 1054-nucleotide ribosomal RNA is filed under the name Amentotaxus poilanei. RNAcentral's name for it is "eukaryotic LSU rRNA". The stretch from base 658 to 811 matches the Rfam family "5.8S ribosomal RNA". Lineage: Eukaryota; Viridiplantae; Streptophyta; Pinopsida; Cupressales; Taxaceae. The record is from RNAcentral.
GUAGGUGAACCUGCGGUAGGAUCAUUGUUGGUUCCGAGCCACGAACUGUGUAGGGGAGGAGGCGCGCUCGACAUGGUCGGGACUCGUAGCCUCCCCGACCCCCGCUCUCGUCGGCGUGUGGACUGGAGGGCCUGUUGACUUGUCGUGCAUCUAUCUCGCGAUUCUCUCCGGAUGGAUGUCGCGGCGGGCCUCGCGCCUCCGUAAGUCAUUCGCUUGCGGUUCGGGGUACGAUUCAAGGGCGUGACGGAGUGUGCCGCUGCACUCCUCAACAGCGCCCGCGGCGGCCGGUGGACUCCUCGGGGAGUCCGCGAGGCACAGCUGCAACCCCCCGUUGCGUCGACGAAGGGAGCAAUGUCGUGUAAAGGUGUUGUUGGUGGUGCGGACGGGCGCACUCGCGCAAGCCGCGGGGCAGGACCUCUCGUCGCCGUCCCCCUUCCCUCUUUGACGGCAUGUGUCCUUCCGAUGUUGCGGGGCGGGGACAUCUCCCGUCUCACGUGCCACCCAUGAGGCAUCGCCUCUGGACCCCGGUGGCAAUUGCGGGACGGGCAGUGUGUCACAAACACUUAACACUGCGGUGCAGUUCGCACCAAGGAUUGAAAGAUAGCCGCGCGAGCCGCACGCCGUGUGCGUGCGGGAUUGCCGGCGCCAUGAGAACACGACUCUCGGCAACGGAUAUCUCGGCUCUCGCCACGAUGAAGAAUGUAGCGAAAUGCGAUACUUAGUGUGAAUUGCAGAAUCCCGUGAAUCAUCGAGUCUUUGAACGCAAGUUGCGCCCGAGGCUUCGGCCGAGGGCACGUCUGCUUGGGCGUCGCACUUCUAAAUCGCCCUCCCCCUGCGGCCUUGGGCGGGAGGAGCGGAUAUGGCCGUCCGUCCCCCAACAGCGGUGCGGUCGGCUUAAACAGGCACGGGGUCCGUCGCCCAUGUCACGACGAGCGGUGGCCCAAGCGGGUCGGCGUUAGUUUGUGCGGGGCGGGUGCGGCUAUGUGCGGAACUUUAUCUGGGAGCGGGCGGCUUUGCAUGCGUGCGGGUCAGCCUGUUUGCCUUCCGCGUCCCC